GUUGUAUAGUCAAGUAAUUAAGUGCAUGUGGUGGAUGCCUUGGCAGUCAGAGGCGAUGAAAGACGUGAUAGCCUGCGAAAAGCUCCGGGGAGGCGGCAAAUAUCCUUUGAUCCGGAGAUGUCUGAAUGGGGGAACCCACCUACUUUAAGGUAGGUAUUGCAACAUGAAUACAUAGUGUUGCAAGGCGAACGAGGGGAAGUGAAACAUCUCAGUACCCUUAGGAAAAGAAAUCAAUUGAGAUUCCCUCAGUAGCGGCGAGCGAACGGGGAUCAGCCCAUUAAGUUAUGUGUGUUUUAGUGGAACGCUCUGGGAAGUGCGAACGUAGAGGGUGAUAUUCCCGUACACGAAAGGGCACACAUAAUGAUGACGAGUAGGGCGAGGCACGUGAAACCUUGUCUGAAUAUGGGGGGACCAUCCUCCAAGGCUAAAUACUCCUGACUGACCGAUAGUGAACCAGUACCGUGAGGGAAAGGCGAAAAGAACCCCUGUGAGGGGAGUGAAAUAGAUCCUGAAACCGCAUGCAUACAAGCAGUGGGAGCACCUUCGUGGUGUGACUGCGUACCUUUUGUAUAAUGGGUCAGCGACUUAUAUUCAGUAGCAAGGUUAACCGUAUAGGGGAGCCGUAGAGAAAUCGAGUCUUAAUAGGGCGUUUAGUUGCUGGGUAUAGACCCGAAACCAGGCGAUCUAUCCAUGAGCAGGUUGAAGGUUGGGUAACACUAACUGGAGGACCGAACCCACUGUCGUUGAAAAGCCAGGGGAUGACUUGUGGAUAGGGGUGAAAGGCUAAUCAAGCCUGGUGAUAGCUGGUUCUCCCCGAAAGCUAUUUAGGUAGCGCCUCGGACGAAUACCAUAGGGGGUAGAGCACUGUUUCGGCUAGGGGGUCAUCCCGACUUACCAAACCGAUGCAAACUCCGAAUACCUAUGAGUACUAUCCGGGAGACAGACUGCGGGUGCUAACGUCCGUAGUCAAGAGGAAAACAAUCCAGACCGCCAGCUAAGGCCCCAAAAUCAUAGUUAAGUGGGAAACGAUGUGGGAAGGCAUAGACAGCUAGGAGGUUGGCUUAGAAGCAGCCACCCUUUAAAGAAAGCGUAAUAGCUCACUAGUCGAGUCGGCCUGCGCGGAAGAUGUAACGGGGCUAAAACUAUGUGCCGAAGCUGCGGAUNNNNNNNNNNNNNNNNNNNNNNNNNNAUGCUGGAGGUAUCAGAAGUGCGAAUGCUGACGUGAGUAACGACAAAACGGGUGAAAAACCCGUUCGCCGAAAGACCAAGGGUUCCAGUCCAACGUUAAUCGGGGCUGGGUGAGUCGACCCCUAAGGCGAGGCCGAAAGGCGUAGUCGAUGGGAAAAUGGUUAAUAUUCCAUUACUUCUGUGUAAUGCGAUGAGAGGACGGAGAAGGCUAAAUCAGCCUGGCGUUGGUUGUCCAGGUGAAAGGAUGUAGGCAUGUAUCUUAGGCAAAUCCGGGGUACUCUAUGCUGAGAUCUGAUAGCAAGCUGUACUUGUACAGCGAAGUGGUUGAUGCCAUGCUUCCAGGAAAAGUCUCUAAGCUUCAGUUACACAGGAAUCGUACCCGAAACCGACACAGGUGGUCAGGUCGAGUAGACCAAGGCGCUUGAGAGAACUCUGCUGAAGGAACUAGGCAAAAUGGUACCGUAACUUCGGGAGAAGGUACGCUGUUGUUGGUGAUGGAACUCGCUUCCUGAGCUGACGACAGCCGCAGAAACCAGGCCGCUGCAACUGUUUAUUAAAAACAUAGCACUCUGCAAACACGAAAGUGGACGUAUAGGGUGUGAUGCCUGCCCGGUGCUGGAAGGUUAAUUGAUGGGGUUAGCGUAAGCGAAGCUCUUGAUCGAAGCCCCAGUAAACGGCGGCCGUAACUAUAACGGUCCUAAGGUAGCGAAAUUCCUUGUCGGGUAAGUUCCGACCUGCACGAAUGGCAUAAUGAUGGCGGCGCUGUCUCCAGCAGAGGCUCAGUGAAAUCGAAAUCGCUGUGAAGAUGCAGUGUACCCGCGGCUAGACGGAAAGACCCCGUGAACCUUUACUGCAGCUUGACACUGAACUUUGACCUUACUUGUGUAGGAUAGGUGGGAGGCUUUGAAGCUGGAACGCUAGUUCCAGUGGAGCCGUCCUUGAAAUACCACCCUGGUAAUGUUGAGGUUCUAACUCUGUCCCGUGAUCCGGGACGAGGACCGUGUCUGGUGGGUAGUUUGACUGGGGCGGUCUCCUCCUAAAGAGUAACGGAGGAGUACGAAGGUGCGCUCAGCGUGGUCGGAAAUCACGCGUAGAGUAUAAAGGCAAAAGCGCGCUUAACUGCGAGACCCACAAGUCGAGCAGGUACGAAAGUAGGUCUUAGUGAUCCGGUGGUUCUGUAUGGAAGGGCCAUCGCUCAACGGAUAAAAGGUACUCUGGGGAUAACAGGCUGAUACCGCCCAAGAGUUCAUAUCGACGGCGGUGUUUGGCACCUCGAUGUCGGCUCAUCUCAUCCUGGGGCUGAAGCAGGUCCCAAGGGUAUGGCUGUUCGCCAUUUAAAGAGGUACGCGAGCUGGGUUUAGAACGUCGUGAGACAGUUCGGUCCCUAUCUACCGUGGGCGCUGGAAAUUUGAGAGGAUCUGCUCCUAGUACGAGAGGACCAGAGUGGACGAACCUCUGGUGUACCGGUUGUGACGCCAGUCGCAUCGCCGGGUAGCUAUGUUCGGAAGGGAUAACCGCUGAAAGCAUCUAAGCGGGAAGCCUACCUCAAGAUAAGAUUUCCCUAGGACUUUAUGUCCUCUAAAGAGCCGUUCGAGACUAGGACGUUGAUAGGUUGGAUGUGGAAGCAUAGUGAUAUGUGAAGCUGACCAAUACUAAUUGCUCGUGAGGCUUGACUAUACAACACCCAAGCAGUUG
RNAcentral lists this ribosomal RNA (2883 nucleotides) under Acinetobacter baumannii. RNAcentral describes it as "23S ribosomal RNA". It matches the Rfam family "Bacterial large subunit ribosomal RNA". Lineage: Bacteria; Pseudomonadati; Pseudomonadota; Gammaproteobacteria; Moraxellales; Moraxellaceae. The record is from RNAcentral.